GAUGAACGCUGGCGGCGUGCCUAAUACAUGCAAGUCGAGCGAACAGAUAAGGAGCUUGCUCCUUUGACGUUAGCGGCGGACGGGUGAGUAACACGUGGGUAACCUACCUAUAAGACUGGGAUAACUCCGGGGAAACAGGGCUUAUUCCCGAUAAUCUUUUGCACCGGCUUGUUCCAAAGUUGAAGAAGGUUUUUGUUAUCCUUAAAGCCUGCCCCGGCGCCUAUUAGCUAGUUGGUAAGGUAACGGCUUACCCAGGCAACGAUUCGUAGCCGACCUGAGCGGGAGAUCGGACACACUGGAACUGAGACACGGUCCAGACACCUACGGGAGGCAGCAGUAGGGAAUCUUACGCGAUGGGCGAAAGCCUGACGGAGCAACGCCGCGUGAGUGAUGAAGGUCUUAGGAUCGGAAAACUCUGUUAGUAGGGAAGAAGAAAUGUGUAAGUAACUGUGCAGAUAUUGACGGUACCUAGUCAGAAAGCCACGGCUAACUACGUG
Molecule: ribosomal RNA, 497 nt
Filed under: uncultured bacterium
Lineage: Bacteria
Description: partial 16S ribosomal RNA
Rfam family: Bacterial small subunit ribosomal RNA
Source: RNAcentral